This 199-nucleotide long non-coding RNA is filed under the name Lathyrus oleraceus (garden pea). Its description in RNAcentral is "Pisum sativum (pea) long non-coding RNA (PSAT_LNC034030)". Lineage: Eukaryota; Viridiplantae; Streptophyta; Magnoliopsida; Fabales; Fabaceae. The record is from RNAcentral.
UUUUUCUAUUUUGUUUCCAUUUUGAUUUAUUUUUUAACCCUUUCAUUUUCAUUAUUCUGAAAAUAUUUUGAACUUAACUCAUGUUAUUUUUUUCUUUAGUAUUUUAUUUUAUUUUAUUUCAAGUCAUUUGAAUGAUUUUUGGUAGACUUGUGAAGUCUUGAACUUAUGGACUAGUGAAAUCUACUUAGGUCAUAACUUG